Molecule: ribosomal RNA, 253 nt
Filed under: uncultured bacterium
Lineage: Bacteria
Description: partial 16S ribosomal RNA
Rfam family: Bacterial small subunit ribosomal RNA
Source: RNAcentral
UACGGGGGGGGCAAGCGUUGUUCGGAAUUACUGGGCGUAAAGGGCUCGUAGGCGGCCAACUAAGUCAGACGUGAAAUCCCCAGGCUCAACCUGGGAACUGCGUCUGAUACUGGGAGGCUCGAGUAUGGGAGAGGGAUGUAGAAUUCCAGGUGUAGCGGUGAAAUGCGUAGAUAUCUGGAGGAAUACCGGUGGCGAAGGCGGCAUCCUGGACCAUUACUGACGCUGAGGCGCGAAAGCUAGGGGAGCAAACGGG